UUAGGCUUGAUAAUGGUCAUUAUUAUUUUGUUAUAAUUAAAUUCUUUAUAAGUUUUAAUUUUUUGUUGAUUUUAAUUUUUUAUUAAAAUAAUUUUUUUAAUUUUUAUUUAUCAUGAAAUAAUGUUUUAAUUAGUAUUAUUUAUAAUUAUGUUUUAGGAAUUCGGCAAUUUUGAAUUUUACCUGUUUAAUAAAAACAUGUCUUUUUGAUAUUUAUUUAAGGUUGAGCCUGCCCAAUGAUUAAAAAUUUAAUGGCUGCAGUAUUUUAACUGUACGAAGGUAGCAUAAUCAUUUGUUCAAUAAUUGUGGACUGGAAUGAAGGGUUUAAUAAGAAUUUAUCUUUCUUAUUUAUAUAAAUAAGAAUUUAUUUUUUUAGUUAAAAAACUAAGAUUUUUUUAUGGGACG
RNAcentral lists this ribosomal RNA (402 nucleotides) under Schizopterinae sp. UCR ENT 00036589. RNAcentral describes it as "partial large subunit ribosomal RNA". The record is from RNAcentral. Lineage: Eukaryota; Metazoa; Arthropoda; Insecta; Hemiptera; Schizopteridae.